ACUCCUACGGGAGGCAGCAGUGGGGAAUCUUCCGCAAUGGGCGAAAGCCUGACGGAGCAACGCCGCGUGAGUGACGAAGGCCCUUGGGUCGUAAAACUCUGUCUUCAGGGAAGAAAAAAAUGACGGUACCUGAGGAGGAAGCCCCGGCUAACUACGUGCCAGCAGCCGCGGUAAAACGUAGGGGGCGAGCGUUGUCCGGAAUUACUGGGCGUAAAGGGCGUGUAGGCGGUUCGCGAAGUCAGGAGUGAAAACUCGGGGUUCAACCUCGAGAUUGCUUUUGAAACCAGCGGGCUUGAGUGCAGGAGAGGAAAGUGGAAUUCCCAGUGUAGCGGUGAAAUGCGUAGAUAUUGGGAGGAACACCAGUGGCGAAAGCGGCUUUCUGGCCUGUAACUGACGCUGAGGCGCGAAAGCGUGGGGAGCAAACAGGAUUAGAUACCCUGGUAGUCCACGCCGUAAACGAUGGGUGCUAAGUGUUGGGGGUAUCGACCCCCUCAGUG
Molecule: ribosomal RNA, 497 nt
Filed under: uncultured bacterium
Lineage: Bacteria
Description: bacterial SSU rRNA
Rfam family: Bacterial small subunit ribosomal RNA
Source: RNAcentral